RNAcentral lists this ribosomal RNA (382 nucleotides) under Bacillus subtilis. RNAcentral describes it as "bacterial SSU rRNA". It matches the Rfam family "Bacterial small subunit ribosomal RNA", at positions 1009 to 1392 of the family's 1533-position model. Lineage: Bacteria; Bacillati; Bacillota; Bacilli; Caryophanales; Bacillaceae. The record is from RNAcentral.
GGACGUCCCCUUCGGGGGCAGAGUGACAGGUGGUGCAUGGUUGUCGUCAGCUCGUGUCGUGAGAUGUUGGGUUAAGUCCCGCAACGAGCGCAACCCUUGAUCUUAGUUGCCAGCAUUCAGUUGGGCACUCUAAGGUGACUGCCGGUGACAAACCGGAGGAAGGUGGGGAUGACGUCAAAUCAUCAUGCCCCUUAUGACCUGGGCUACACACGUGCUACAAUGGACAGAACAAAGGGCAGCGAAACCGCGAGGUUAAGCCAAUCCCACAAAUCUGUUCUCAGUUCGGAUCGCAGUCUGCAACUCGACUGCGUGAAGCUGGAAUCGCUAGUAAUCGCGGAUCAGCAUGCCGCGGUGAAUACGUUCCCGGGUCUUGUACACACCG